Molecule: ribosomal RNA, 303 nt
Filed under: uncultured bacterium
Lineage: Bacteria
Description: partial 16S ribosomal RNA
Rfam family: Bacterial small subunit ribosomal RNA
Source: RNAcentral
AGCAGUAGCCGCGGUAAUACGAAGGGGGCUAGCGUUGCUCGGAAUGACUGGGCGUAAAGGGCGCGUAGGCGGAUGGCACAGUCAGAUGUGAAAUUCCCGGGCUUAACCUGGGGGCUGCAUUUGAUACGUGUUGUCUAGAGUGAGGAAGAAGGUCGUGGAGUUCCCAGUGUAGAGGUGAAAUUCGUAGAUAUUGGGAAGAACACCGGUGGCGAAGGCGGCGACCUGGUCCUUUACUGACGCUGAGGCGCGAAAGCGUGGGGGGCAAACAGGAUUAGAUACCCCAGUAGUCCCUGUCUCUUAUAC